AUGCCAUCCAGUCUAGAGAGUAAAAAAAUGAUAAGUAAAAAGGAAACAGUAGCCUGCACUACUAGUACUUUACUCGUUGAACCCAGCUCGUUCCUCUCCUCGUCUUCUCUGCUAUCCCAAGAACAGAACCAGCCACCCACCUCUCUCUCUCUCCCCAAGAACAGAGCAUGGCCGCCGCCGCCUCGAUCUGCCCCGUCCGGGCAUCUCCGGCGACACGGUGGACACCUACAGAUUCUCCUCGUCUCCCUCUAUCAUUUCCCCCUAUUUCUUUUAUCCGCCGCCGCCAAAAACGUCGCCACCACUCAAUCCUAG
Molecule: ribosomal RNA, 312 nt
Filed under: Triticum aestivum (bread wheat)
Lineage: Eukaryota; Viridiplantae; Streptophyta; Magnoliopsida; Poales; Poaceae
Description: partial small subunit ribosomal RNA
Source: RNAcentral